AAAAUUGUAGUUAAAAUCAUAACAUUUGUCCUGCAAACAAAAAUUAUAACAAUUUUA
Molecule: transfer RNA, 57 nt
Filed under: Armillifer grandis
Lineage: Eukaryota; Metazoa; Arthropoda; Ichthyostraca; Porocephalida; Armilliferidae
Description: tRNA-Ala
Source: RNAcentral